GGGGGGGGGGGGGGGGGGGGGGGGGGGGGGGGGGGGGGGGGGGGGGGGCGGGGGGGGGGGGUGGGGGGGGGGGGGUGGCGAAGGGGGGAGUGACACGUGAGUAACCUGGCGCCUGCGUCUGGGUAACCGCAUGGAAGUGUGGCUAAUACGGGAUAGUCUGGGUCUGUCGCAUGGUGGGUCUGGGAACGAUAUUGUUUCGGGGGGGGAUGGGCUCGCGGCCGAUCAGCUUGUUGGUGGGGUGAUGGCCUACCAAGGCGGUGAUGGGUAGCCGGCCUGAGAGGGUAGACGGUCACACUGGGACUGAGACACGGCACAGACGCAUACGGGAGGCAGCAGUGGUGAAUAUUGCACAAUGGGCGCAAGCCUGAUGCAGCGACGACGCGUGAGGGAUGGAGGCCUUCGGGUUGUGAACCUCUUUCGCCAGUGAAGCAGGCGUGCCUCGUUUGUGGGUGGGUUGACGGUAGCUGGAUAAGAAGCGCAGGCUAACUACGUG
RNAcentral lists this ribosomal RNA (493 nucleotides) under uncultured bacterium. Its description in RNAcentral is "partial 16S ribosomal RNA". The stretch from base 61 to 493 matches the Rfam family "Bacterial small subunit ribosomal RNA", at positions 39 to 507 of the family's 1533-position model. The record is from RNAcentral.